Podarcis raffonei (Aeolian wall lizard) is the source of this 1423-nucleotide long non-coding RNA. RefSeq lists it as uncharacterized. The record is from RefSeq and is a predicted model, not a curated record. The transcript is spliced from 2 exons. Lineage: Eukaryota; Metazoa; Chordata; Lepidosauria; Squamata; Lacertidae.
UGAAAGCAGACCCAGGGGAGAGCCGCGUUUUGUUCUCGCGUGUCGAGGGGUCGCGUGUGAAAAGCUGGCUGUACAGGAGUUUCCCUCUCUGCAGAAAAACCUGCGCCCCGUUUUGAAAUGGGGGGCCUAUCUUCUGGAACUGUCCUGGAUUGCGGUGCAAUUAUGGCCCAGCACCACAAACCAUUCAACCUGAUAAUUAUGAUGAUGAUGAUGUAAUAAGUGGCACCUUAACCAUUGAAUCCUAGGCAUGUCUAUUCUAAAGUAUGUCUUGUUUCAUGAGAUGUAUUAAAGGCAAAUAUGUAUAGGAUUGCAGUCUCCCUAUUCUUUUCCUCUUCCCCGCCCCCAUCCUUUCCUUUUGUAUCAUGUAUGUUAGAUUGCAGAUCUGCAGCCAAGGCCUGUGUUCUUUUUAAAAUUAGUACCUAGAAAUGUUAGGCACUUUCUAAAUAAUAAAAGCAGCAGUAGUAUCUAUUGGUUCAAGGCGCAAUAUACUAUUGAAGUGGAUGGAACAAAACAAGCUUGAAUUAAUAUUCUUAGGUUUAACUGGGUUGAAUAUCAGGUUAUAAGUUGUGUUUUUUUUUGUUUUUUUUAAAGAACUCAGUUGCAGCCAACUUACCCAUUGAAAUCAAUGAACUUGGCUAACAGAAGCUCACUGAUUUAAUUGGGUCUGCUUUGAGUAUAACUUGGUGGGAAAGAAAUUCAACCCUUGCUCGUGUCAGGAUUAGAAUUGUUUCAGGCUUCGAAAGUGAUGGAUUAGUAACAUUUGGAGUGCAUUGAUAAAACACUACAUAAAAGAUACUAAGAGGGGAUCCUUUAUCAGCUGCCAGAUAACAAGUAAUUUUGGAUGAGGCUGCCCCAUAGUUUUAUAGCUGUGAAAAGGGUGUGGGGUGUGGGGAAAUAUACACAUGCAUUAAAAAUAUAAACAACAUACAGAAUAUGUUUUUACUUCAGAGUUUAAAUGUGAGAAUAAUGAUGGAAUGGUUAAUGGGACUUAUUGUAUAAAUGCAUUAAAAAUCCUUUUAUUUAUGUUUAAUUUCAUUAAUACAACAAACUUACACCUUUUAAACUCUACAAUCAAAUGUGAAUGGGUGUCUUGGGGGAAAUUUCAAAUAAGCUAUGUUUGCAGGGUUACUUCAUUGUUUGUGCUGUCCUGGCGUGAGUUGGCCUAGGCACGUCUUUCAGGAUUUAGCUUUAUCUCUGAGCUUUUCUUUUAAGCAGUGUCUUGUGAGUCUUAUGCCUCUGACUUUCAUCCACUUAGGCUGGCUCCUUUGUUAGGAAUCUCAAAAAUCCUGCCAGUUCUUAGAAAAUGGGAAGAACUCUUAACAUUUCAGAAUUGCGUUUGAUUGCAUGGCUGCAAGUGUACUCUGUUUGAACAAUACAUGACAUACUCUACCUGAAUAAUUAAAUAAAUAGAAAAAUGAUUGUA